CCUUGUGUCCGCCAUAUUGGACGCUAACUCUGGUCAGCGGCGGCGCCGGGCCCGCUGGACUCGCCGUUCCUCUGGCCCAGCGACCUGCUCGCAGCUCCCGCCCGCUCGGCCCUCCCCGCCCGGAGGCUCCCCGCGCAGCCAGCGCCCCCCGCCCUCGGCCGGCCGGAGCGCCCCGCCGCCGCCUCAGCCUCCCCGCCUUCCCCGCCCUCCGCCGCCGCCUGCGGCCCCGCGCCCGUUCCGCGCCCUCUCCCCGCCCGCCAGCCCGCCCGCCAUGAGCCCGGCCGACGCCAAGCGCGGGGCCAAGCGCCGGAAGAACAAGCGUGGCAGUGGCGGCGGCUCGGGCGGCGGCAACGGCAGCGCGAGCGGCGGCAAGGCCGGCCCGGCGGCUGCGCUGCGCGGCUCCCAGGCCGCGGGCCUGGCGGCCCCGGGCGGCGAGGCGGCGGCCAAUGGGCCCCUCGGCCCGGGCGCGGGCGGCACCGCCCCGGGAGGCUACUUCGAGACUCCUUUUAAUUUUGGCAUGAAUCAUAGAACACCAUCCUACCCCCCUGGGGAUCAUUGUCUUCUGUGCAGAAGCGAGAGGAAAGACUCUUCAUUCUUAGAGAGUGGAAUUAAGACCGCAAGCAAAUUGGCCCUUUCCAUGGCUCCCAAGGGCAACAGUGUGCUGCGCCUGCCACUGUGGGUGUGUCCCGACUGCCGGCGGACCGUGGAGAAGGAGGAGAGGCACAGCAGCCUUGACCGGCCGGCGCAGAGCCAAGACUUUCUUCUUCACUCCUCUCUUGGUGGGUCCCAGCCAGAGGCAGGCAGCAGCGGGAGGCUGGCUCUUGGCGCUCAGACCCUGCCACAAGCCGGGCUGGGUGGCGCUGCCCCCUCGGACGCAGCGUGCGCCUGUGAGAGCUGCAGCGAGCGCAGAGAGAUUGCAGCAGAGCCCGACCGGGAGCCUCAGCAGCUGCAGAACUGUUGGUCAGAAGUGCGCUACAUGGUCCGUUGCAUUUACCGCCAGGCAGGGACCCCACUGGCAGACGACCAGGACCAGAGUCUCGUGCCCGACAAGGAGGGGGUGAAGGAGCUCGUGGAUAGGCUGUGCGAGCGGGACCCCUACCAGCUGUACCAGCGGUUGGAGCAGCAAGCCAGAGAGUAUGUGCUGGAGAUGAAGGUUCGCCUCCUGCGGCAGUUGUCGGCUGCGUCCAAAGUGCGAACGCCGGCCGCUCUGCAGGGCCCUCCGCAGGCACACCAGUUCAUCUCGCUCCUCCUUGAGGAGUACGGUGCCCUGUGCCAGGCAGCCCGCACCAUCAGCACCUUCCUGGGCACUCUGGAAAACGAACACUUGACAAAGUUCCAGGUGACAUGGGAGCUGCAUAAUAAACACCUAUUUGAAAACCUGGUCUUUUCGGAGCCUCUUCUCCAGAGCAACUUGCCAGCACUGGUGUCACAGAUCAGGCUGGGGACCACGACACAUGACACCUGUCAUGAGGAUGCAUACAGUGUCUUGCUGCAGCGAUACCAGAGCUCUGAGGAGGAGCUACGCAGGGUCGCUGAGGAGUGGCUGGAGUGCCAGAAGAGGAUUGAUGCCUACGUGGAUGAGCAGAUGACAGCGAGAACCAAGCAGCGCCUGCUGACAGAAGACUGGGAGCUUCUCAAACAAAGGCGAGUCACGGAAGAGCAGUUAACUAAUAAGAAAGCAGCCACUGGUGAGAACAACUUCACAGAUGCCAUGAGGCACAUGCUGUCAUCUCGUCUGAGCAUGCCCGACUGCCCCAACUGCAACUAUAGGAGAAGAUGCGCUUGUGAUGACUGCAGCCUCUCUCACAUCCUCACCUGUGGUAUCAUGGACCCCCCCGCCGCUGGCGACAUCCACAUUCACCAGCUGCCACUCCAGGCGGACUCCGCUCCUGACUAUCUCUCUGAGAUGCGCCCUCCUAGUGCAUCAUCAGCAAGCUCAGGGUCGGGCUCCAGCUCUCCCAUCACAGUCCAGCAGCAUCCCAGACUCCUCCUCACAGACAACGGCUCUGCACCAACUUUUUGUAGUGAUGAUGAAGAUGUUGCACCAUUGUCAGCUAAAUUUGCUGAUAUUUAUCCGUUGAGUAACUACGAUGAUACCGAAGUGGUGGCCAACAUGAAUGGGAUCCACAGCGAAUUGAAUGGUGGUGGGGAAAACAUGGCUCUAAAAGAUGAGUCCCCUCAGGUAAGCAGUGCCAGUGGUAGUUCCUCAGAAGCUGAGGAGGAAGAGGCGGAUGGAGAGAGCAGUGGGGAGCCACCAGGAGCCCCAGAGGGAGGCGGAGCUGUAGGAGAUGGGAGCCCCAGGAGAGAGGAAAGCAGAGUGGACAGCCCGCCCCCAUCUUACCCAGCUCAGCAGGCUGAACAAGCUCCAAACACUUGUGAAUGUCAUGUUUGUAAACAAGAAGUUUCUGGACUGACACCAUCAGCAAUGACAGUUGGAGCCCUCCCUCCUGGCCAUCAGUUCAUGAGCCCUGAGAAGCCCACACACCCCGCUCUGCAUCUUUACCCCCACAUCCAUGGACAUGUGCCUUUGCACGCAGUCCCACACCUGCCUCGUCCUCUUAUCCACCCCACCUUGUAUACAGCACCCCCCUUCACACACAGUAAGGCUUUACCGCCAGCACCUGUUCAGAAUCACACAAAUAAGCAUCAGGUAUUCAAUGCAUCUCUUCAAGACCAUAUUUAUCCGAGCUGUUUUGGGAAUACUCCAGAGUGGAAUAGUUCUAAAUUUAUAAGUCUUUGGGGAUCAGAAGUGAUGAAUGAUAAGAACUGGAAUCCUGGCACUUUCUUGCCAGAUACAAUUUCUGGGAGUGACAUUUUGGGGCCGACACUGUCAGAAACAAGACCUGAAGCCCUUCCACCUCCAUCUAGCAGCGAAACACCUGCAGUUCUGGACAGUAAAGAAAAAAAAAAUGCUGUAAGAAAGAAAUGUUUGUACAAUUUCCAAGAUGCUUUUAUGGAAGCAAACAAAGUUGUGAUGGCCACCUCGUCAGCCACUUCCUCUGUGUCCUGCACGGCCACCACAGUACAGUCAAGCAACAGCCAGUUCAAAGUGUCGUCCCAGAGGCCCCCUUCCAGAGCCGCUGGCAGUGACUCUCCUGCAUCUGUGAAUGCAGGUGAGGUCUUUCAUGGCGUCAGCAAAGAGGAUCACAGACACACGGCACCAGCCGUCCCAAGGAACAGCCCCACAGGCUUGGCACCACUGCCCACUCUUACUCCUGCCACCCUCUCACCAGCCUCCACACCACACCUUGCCAGCCUUGCAGCCCCAUCCUUUCCCAAGGCUGUGACCACAUCACCUGGCUUUGUGGACGCACGCAAGACCUUCUGUCCUGCUCCUGUGGCUCCCCCGCCCCCCACCACGGACAGCUCCACCAGUGCACCUCCCAGCGUCUGCAGUGACCCUGACUGCGAAGGGCACCGCUGUGAAAACGGCGUCUACGACCCACAGCAGGACGAUGGGGACGAGAGCGCCGAUGAGGACAGCUGCUCCGAGCACAGCUCCAGCACCUCGACCUCCACCAACCAGAAGGAGGGCAAGUACUGUGACUGCUGCUACUGUGAGUUCUUCGGGCACGGCGGGCCUCCAGCUGCACCAACAAGUAGAAAUUAUGCAGAAAUGAGAGAAAAGCUUCGUUUACGACUGACCAAGAGGAAAGAAGAGCAGCCUAAAAAGUCAGAUCAGCUCUCAGAAAGGGAGAGUAUGGUGGACCACCGGCGGGUGGAGGAUCUGCUGCAGUUCAUCAACAGCUCAGAGACCAAACCAGUGAGCAGCACUCGGGCGGCCAAGCGGGCGCGCCACAAGCAGAGGAAGAACACUUCCAUCUCAAGUCACCUUCUCUUUUCCUGUCGGCAGCUAGAGGAGAAAGCUCGUCUUGAAGCAGAGGCCAGGGCCCGGGAGCAUCUGCACCUCCGUGAGGAGCAGCGGCGGCGGGAGGAGGAGGAGGAGGAGCGACUCAAGGAGGAGUUUCAGCGGCUGCAGGAGCUUCAGAAGCUCAGAGCCGUGAAGAAGAAGAAGAAGGAGAGGCUGAGUAAAGACUGCUCCAAGCUGGACAUGCUCACCGGGAACUUGCGGGCAGCAGUGGGGUACUCACCCGGCUCCGAAGGCAUCCACAAUGGCUCCCUGGAGCUCGCCGAGGAGCCAGAAGCCUCACCUUGUGCCCCAUCCCAACACAUGGAGCCAGGGCCGGGCCGGGGGGCUGACGGCGUCGCUGCUGACCCCACAGAUGCCAGAGACUCCAGGCCGCUCCUGAAGGAGGCCGGCGGAAAGCAGCAGGGGCCGCUGUCUUUUCUCCUCGACAUGAUGCAUCAGCACAAAGAGGGGAGUGGCAAACAGAAGCUGAGGCCCACUGGAAAGGCCAGCACUGAGCCAGCGAGGAAGCCCUCGGAGCCCCCCCGAGCUCGGUCCCAGGCUGAGCCAAAGGCGGAGGUGCUGGACCUCGUGCCCCUGGCAGAGCAGAAAAGGGAGGAGAGGAGGGUCAGCAGCAGCAAGAAGCAGCCGAACCACAUCAAGGAAGAGAAGCCGCAGCUGGCCGGCCCUGAGCCCGCCUCCCCCAGCGGGCAGGCCCAGGGCAGCAAGCUGGCCCCGGCAGACUCCCCUCAGCCCAAGAGCAGGAACAAGAAAAGUAAGAAGAAGAAAGGAGACGGAGCCGGCUCUGCAAUUGAUGAUGUCUUUCUGCCUAAAGAUAUUGACCUAGACAGUGUGGACAUGGAUGAGACAGAGAGGGAGGUGGAAUACUUCAAAAGAUUUUGUUUGGACUCCGCUAGACAAACCCGACAAAGGCUGUCCAUCAACUGGUCCAAUUUCAGCCUGAAAAAAGCCACCUUUGCUGCCCACUGAAUGAGGACUGCCUGGAGAGGGACGCGCGGGAGGCAGGCCCAGGCCCAGGACAGCCCAACCAGACCCAUCCAGGCUUUGGUGUGAGAAGUGUCGGUGGGAGCAAGAGCACCACGUCCCUUUGGUUUUGGGACAAACCAGCAAAAGGAGAAACAGGCUGGGCGGUGGCCAUGGCGGCAACAGCGUCCCGAGGGGCGGAAAGCCCACUGCUGUCUCCCAGCGCUCCAAGCCCGGGGCGGGGCCUUGUCCACUCUGGCUGAGGCAGGGGCCAGGCAGGACCAGGGCUGGCUGGGCACUGGGCAGCCUGGACCAGCAGAGUGGACAGUGAGCCUGCUCUCAUGGAGGCCAGGCCUCGCCAGGUAAAGGCUCCCCACUAGAGCCCAAGACCUGCCUCUGCCCAGCCCUGUUCUCCCUGUGGACAGUCCUGAGACUGUGUUGGAGCCAGUCCCACCUCUGAGCCUCACUUCAUCUGUCCCUCGGGACCAUGCUGACUGCCGAGAGGAGCCCUGGGGUUCCAUCUGUGGUGUGAGCUGUCCAGGCCACGACUGGUGAGGACCCAUAGGUGCCCAGCACUGAACAGCCACCCUACACACCCCAGCUUCUGAGGUGGCCCCUUGGCACUUCCAAGUGGGCCUGCUGCCUGUACUUAACUCCAUGUCUGCAGUUUGCACCCCUCAGACCUCCCAGCCUUCUCCUUGCCAGGAAUGCACUUCCCCCAUUCUUGAGGCCAACCCCGAUCCUGCAAGACACUCCACACACACUGUUCCUUGAAACAGUCCUGAAGGGGUGUCACUUUGCCAUUCUGUUCUAGGGAACAAAGAAGAGGAUGGAUGUGGGUCUAUGAAGCUUAGGACCAAGUCAGAGGGUAGUAGAGGAUGGGCAUAGAGGGGGAUGGGGCCUCCUGAGGUCUGGCCUGUGGAGGCAGGUCCGGGCCUUGGGCACAACAUGGCCUGGUGACUUAGUCCCCCAGUGUUCUCACACCCACCAUCACAUGUACAGCUGAGGAAACAGGCCUGGGAGAGCGCCCAGGGAGCCGCACGCAGACUGUCACUUUGAGUAUCACCCCCUGUACGUGGUGGUAGUCCUGAGGUGAGACAGCAACUAAGUAAGAAACAUGGAAUGUUCUUCACUGAGCUGUGCUCACAAAGGCAUUAAAAAUCAAAAUGGUAUUAUAGCACCAGAAAGGACUAACACUUGAUUUCAUUAAUAAGUCUUUUAAAAGAAGAAAAACUUUCACCUCAGUUCAAUUUCAUGGUUUUAAACAUUAAACCUCCCAAGUCACUGGACCAAGUGGCAGACCUGAAAGGACAUGGGUUCUUGUUGUUCCGUCUUUGCAGUCACUGCUUGGAUCCACUAUUGAGUCGUAAGGAUGAGAGCGCAGCAGGGGUGGGGGCUGCGUGCAGCGACAUCCCCGACAUCUCUCAGCAGUGAGAACGCAGGAUGUGUCUAGCUGCGUGUCACGAGCCCACCUGUGUCCUGGCAGCCCUCUGGAGUCCUGGUCAGCAGUGUCCCAGGCCGAGGGACAGGCAUGGGUCCUGUGCUGACCCAAAGCGUGCGCAGGCAUUCCUAGACAGCAGUGGCGCCCGUGGGAGGUGAACGCUCUGGGAGCUGUCACUGUGCCACAUGGAAUUGUAAAGCCAAGGGCAUUUUGCAGUGUUUUGGGGUGUUGGAACAGAGGCAGCAGGAGGCAGUGGCUCCUGAAUGAAGGGCAUGACAAGGUGAGCCUCUGAGUGUCCUGGCAUCCUGCCUGGAGGCAGCUUCCACAGCCCAGCAGGAUCACUGAGCAGAGGAAACAGAUUGUCCUUUGGGGAGGCUGAAGCGGUGGGUUAUGGGGCAGGGAUCCAGGGGCUGCACCUGGAGAACCCCAAAGACCUGUGGGGAGUCGCCUCAAGUCCCUUCAAACCUACUGACCUCUGCAGGUGUGGCAUAAAAUUCCUCCAUCCAAGGGAUCAGAAAGCAGGAGGGUUGGGGUUUUGUCUCCACCAGCCAGGGUAGAAAGACCCUGUGAUACACAUGGCCAACAUUAUCUAGAGGAAUACAGAAAUAUCCCACACUAAACAAAGCAAAAUUCGUUGGAAUCAGGCAAAAUUACCAGGCCAUGCCGAGAAGAGGGGAAAUGUAAGCUAUAAUCAGGAGAAAUACCAGAAAAACAAUAGUAACACUCAGAAAUGACACGGUGAAUUUGCACACAAGAACCUUAAAAUAGCCAUUGUAAAUCUUACUAAUUUACAUCUUCAAGGAUAUAAAUGAAACAAGAUGAAAGAAGAAAUGAAAGAUAAAAAAUGCCCAUGUGAAACUUAUAACUAAAGGAAUCUAAAAUAAAAAAUAACCAUAGAGAGAAUUAGCAGAUUACAAACUUCUCCAGAAGAAAAUAUCUAACUACUUGAUGGCAUAUGACUAGAAACUACCCAAAAUGAUGAAAUUGGAGAAGAAAGACAGGAUAAAAUGAGCUGUGAGACAGUAUCGGGCAUCUAACAGACAUGUAACUGGACUUCUAUAAAAGAGCAACAAGAAAUAGAAAUUUCAGCAUCAGCUUGUCAUAAGCCUACUGAGAAGAUGAUGGAGCCAGUAUUGGGUCUACAG
This is an RNA transcript of Manis javanica (Malayan pangolin), 7417 nucleotides long. It is a transcript of the gene named family with sequence similarity 193 member A, with no coding region annotated. The record is from RefSeq and is a predicted model, not a curated record. NCBI's taxonomy places the organism in Eukaryota, Metazoa, Chordata, Mammalia, Pholidota, Manidae.